Molecule: ribosomal RNA, 492 nt
Filed under: uncultured bacterium
Lineage: Bacteria
Description: partial 16S ribosomal RNA
Rfam family: Bacterial small subunit ribosomal RNA
Source: RNAcentral
AGUGAACGCUGGCGGUAGGCCUAACACAUGCAAGUCGAACGGCAGCACAGUAAGAGCUUGCUCUUACGGGUGGCGAGUGGCGGACGGGUGAGGAAUACAUCGGAAUCUACUUUUUCGUGGGGGAUAACGUAGGGAAACUUAUGCUAAUACCGCAUACGACCUACGGGUGAAAGCAGGGGAUCUUCGGACCUUGCGCGAUUGAAUGAGCCGAUGUCGGAUUAGCUAGUUGGCGGGGUAAAGGCCCAACAAGGCGACGAUCCGUAGCUGGUCUGAGAGGAUGAUCAGCCGCACUGGAGCGUAGACACGCUCCAGACUCCUACGGGAGGCAGCAGAGUGGAAUAUUGGGCAAUGGGCGCAAGCCUGAUCCAGCCAUACCGCGUGAGUGAAGAAGGCCUUCGGGUUGUAAAGCCCUUUUGUUGGGAAAGAAAAGCAGCAGGUUAAUACCCCGCUGUUCUGACGGUACCCAAAGAAUAAGCACCGGCUAACUUCGUG